UUACUAGUAACUACUGCUUCUGUUCUCUGGAAACUCUUUAAGCUUGGGAGCAGACACAAAAACUGAACUCUGGGUCCCUGAUCCUAGUUUGUCCUUGAAGUAUGAGGCUGGUGACUGGAGUAUUUAUAUUUCUAGCAGUAGGGACUACAAUUGAUGCAAAGACCACCCAGCCUGACUCCAUGGAUUGUGCUGAAGGAGAAGCUGCAAGCCUGCCUUGUAACCACUCUACCAUCAGUGGAAAUGAGUACAUAUAUUGGUAUCGACAGAUUCUCUUCCAGGGUCCAGAGUUUGUGAUCCAUGGUCUAAAAAACAAUGUGACCAAUGAAAUGGCCUCUCUGAUCAUCCCUGCUGACAGAAAGUACAGUACUUUGAUCCUGCCUCAUGUUACUCUACGAGACACUGCCAUGUACUACUGCAUCGUGGUAGUUGCACAGUGGACAGAUGGGGCAACACGUGGGCAAUAUCUUCCUGGUGUCAAAUGUGGGGAGGGGGGAGGGUAG
This is a non-coding RNA of Carlito syrichta (Philippine tarsier), 500 nucleotides long. The record is from the annotation of a RefSeq genome assembly. NCBI's taxonomy places the organism in Eukaryota, Metazoa, Chordata, Mammalia, Primates, Tarsiidae.